Triticum aestivum (bread wheat) is the source of this 135-nucleotide non-coding RNA. NCBI's taxonomy places the organism in Eukaryota, Viridiplantae, Streptophyta, Magnoliopsida, Poales, Poaceae. The record is from Rfam.
GUAGUACUCCCUCCGUCCGGGAAUACAUGUCAUCAAAAUAAAUAAAAGUGGAUGUAUUUAGAUGUAUUUUAGUUCUAGAUGCAUUCCUUUUUGUCUAUUUUGAUGACAAGUAUUUUCGGACGGAGGGAGUAGUAU